UCUUGGCUUGAUUGCUGUUCACUUAGCUCACUGACUUUAAUCAUGGUUUAAUCACAACUUCAGCCAGGAAGGUGGAAGUUUCAUCUCACUAACUCAUUUUCAGAUUUCCUAGGUUGCUGUUAUAAAGACAUUUUCAAGAAUUGCUGGAUGGUAAUUAUUCCCACGGGAGAUGCCUUGGACUCUAUUUGCCCAAGAUCAUGCCUUAAACACCUGCCUUCAAAGCUCAGAUACAUCGAAAAGAAAAAGGUAUCAGAGAAAUUCAGCCUAAAUAUGAUCUCCAGGAGAUGGCACUGUGAAACAAGUCUUUCAGCAUCCUAAUGCCACCUCCCAGGACCAACUUCUUUCUGAAUUAGGGCUGAUGGAUAAAAAGAAGACAAAGGUAGAAGUGAAAGCCCUGGCCCGGGAGCUGUUAUGAAAUAAAGGCCUGAUGGUGUGUCUUUAUCUCCUGUAAAGAUUGUGAUAAGGUGGGGUGAAAACUUGGAAGCUGAAGGUCACAGUUUGUUGAGAGGAGAGGGAAAAUGCAGAGAGAAGCUUUGCUGUGAGCCCAGGAGCAGUCCCAGGAGAUGAAUAUGGCAGAGGAGCUAACAGGAACUGCAGUUGACUGUGGAGGUGGCCCCAGGUGAUGUCCUGUGUCUCCUCUGUGACACCAAGCUCCUGUUAGAUGCUCUCCACCCUUUAGCUCACUCAGGCUGGACACUGUUAACCAGCCCCAAAUAAUUCCCCAGUGCCAGCUGCACAGCUCUGCCCCUUCUCCAAUGCAGGAAACAGCAUCCCAAAAGCAAGUAAAUACCUCAAAAAGUGGAGAUAACCACAUUCUUUGGGUUAAAAGGAAACCUGGCUGCCAUCAAGGAACUUCUGCCCAGUCUCAUAGUGUUUAUCACAGAUGAAGCUCCAGAGCCUUGACUUUGCCAUUUUACCUGCAGAAAAGUUGUCUCAGAUCCCCCUAUUUAUUCACAAAUACAAAUUUCAUCUCAGCACCAUGUUCAGCUUG
Long non-coding RNA from Passer domesticus (house sparrow), 991 nucleotides. RefSeq lists it as uncharacterized. The transcript is spliced from 3 exons. The record is from RefSeq and is a predicted model, not a curated record. NCBI's taxonomy places the organism in Eukaryota, Metazoa, Chordata, Aves, Passeriformes, Passeridae.